RNAcentral lists this ribosomal RNA (253 nucleotides) under uncultured bacterium. RNAcentral describes it as "partial 16S ribosomal RNA". It matches the Rfam family "Bacterial small subunit ribosomal RNA", at positions 524 to 776 of the family's 1533-position model. The record is from RNAcentral.
UACGGAGGGUGCAAACGUUGCUCGGAAUCAUUGGGCGUAAAGCGCACGUAGGCGGCUAGAUAAGUCGGGUGUGAAAGCCCUGGGCUCAACCCAGGAAGUGCAUUCGAAACUGUCUAGCUUGAAUCUCGGAGGGGGUCAGAGAAUUCCCGGUGUAGAGGUGAAAUUCGUAGAUAUCGGGAGGAAUACCAGUGGCGAAGGCGCUGACCUGGACGAAGAUUGACGCUGAGGUGCGAAAGCGCGGGGAGCAAACAGG